RNAcentral lists this long non-coding RNA (1098 nucleotides) under Durio zibethinus. Its description in RNAcentral is "long non-coding RNA (DZIB_LNC002458)". The record is from RNAcentral. Lineage: Eukaryota; Viridiplantae; Streptophyta; Magnoliopsida; Malvales; Malvaceae.
UUUGGAGAGAUUGAAAAAUUCAACAACUGAAAUCCUUGGUUCCUUACAUGAGUUGGCCACCACUCGAUGUUGCACACUUUGGUACUCCCCAUUCGACACUAUCUGCAAUGCCAUGCAUAUAUAUGUAAACGGACAAACACAAACAGAAUUGUCAGAAUUUAUCACUUCCCGAAGGAGAUUUUCUCUAACUAAGCACGUUUUUGUAGCUAAAAAUGAAACUAAUUUUUUAGUAACAAAUGGUUGGUCUUUAACUUAUGAUUGCAAGUUUUUCAAAUCAAAUGUGAGAAAGCCACACCAAAAUACUGUUUAGUAUAUAUAUAUAUAUAUAUAUAUAUAAAAGUUUAUAUUCGAUAUAUUAUUAAUAUAUAAAUUUUAUAUAUUAUUAAUUAAUCAAAUAAAUAAUAAUAAUAAUUUAUUAAUAAAUAAAUAUUAAUUUUUAAAAUAAAUAUAUACAAAUUAAAAUUACAUAUUAAUUUUUAAAAUAAUUAUAUAUAAAUUUUUAAAUAUAUAUUUAUUAAUUAAAUAUAUAUUUCUUUUAUUUUAUUAAUAAAUUAUCAUUAUCUAUUUAUUGAUAAAAUAUAUAAUUUAUAUACAUAUAAUAUAUUAAAUAUAACAUUCAUACUAAUAAAAGGAUAAUAUAAUAUAAUACUCCAUGUGUUUGGUGUCAGCAUUUGACCGACAUUUUCCUGCUCUACAAUUAAAAGGAUUUGACAAAUUUGGAUCUCUUUGAAAAAAAUUAUCAAGUAAAGCUUAAAAAUCUCUGACAUAAUGAUUUAAUAAAAAUAAGACAAAUUAAGUUUUUGUUGUUUAAUAAAUGUUGAUCAAAUUCUUACAUUAUUAUUUUUAAUUGGCCCAACUCUUUCUAAAGUAUAAUGGAAAUACAGAUUGAUGAAAUUGAAGUAUAAUAUACCUUUGAAAGAGUUAAAUGAAAUGUUAAAAUGCAAUUAUAUAUAUUUUGGAAUUAUGAUCGUCACCUGAAGAAAGUCACCAACAUUGAUAAUGAGACCACCAUGCACAGGCUUCACAUCCACCCACUCAUCAUCAUGCCGAACCUGCAACCCUUGAAUCUGAUUCUGCAACAGCACCGUCAGCAGUCCU